Molecule: long non-coding RNA, 2931 nt
Filed under: Mus musculus (house mouse)
Lineage: Eukaryota; Metazoa; Chordata; Mammalia; Rodentia; Muridae
Description: long non-coding RNA chr5:98346393-98349324
Source: RNAcentral
CAGACUAGGGUGUCUUUAAAAGUCCAACCUUCCUUGACUAUGACAGCCUGGAUGUCCUGCUGGGAGCAGAAAGGCUUGAGGUGCCAUAACGUUGCACUGAAGGUCAAGAAGCAAAGGCACUGUGGUAUGCUUGCGGUAGUGCUGUGUGGGAGGAGUUGGGUCUACUAAUUUAAGAGAUGCAAAUUCCAAAACAUGGUCAUGAUGUCAAUAAGGCACGUUAUAAAGUAACUCACUAGUACCAGUUUUAUGCAUUUACACACGAAAAGUAUGUGACAUUUGCCUUAGAAGUCUUUGUCCUUUCAAGGCAUAUAAACCUUGGCAUUGCUUGUGUUCUUGAACUUUACAAACACUGAUUUAUGGAAAGACAAUAACUGUCACUGGCUUUCGUUACUAUGACUACCAUAAGGCAAUAUAAAAUGUAUUAAGAUGGGUCCUUAGGAACCGGGUAGAUAGCUCAUUUGGUCCAGUGCUAGCUGUAAAAGCAUGAAGACUUGCUUGUGUUAGAGCCUCAGACCCCAGAUGAGCAACUUGCCACAUGCUGUGUGCUUGUAAUACUAGUGUUGGGCGGAUGGAGACAGACCCCAUCCCCGAGACUCACUGGAUGGUUAGCUUAUCCUAAUCUUUGAGUUCUUUUCUUUUUUUUUUCUAUUUUUCCUUCCUUCCUUUCUUCCUUCCUUCCUUCCUUCCUUCCCUCCCUUCCUUCCUUCCUUCCUUCCCUUCCCUUUCCUUCCUUCCUUCCUUCCUUCCUUCCUUCCUUCCUUCUUUCUUUCUUUCUUUCUUUCUUUCUUUCUUUCUUUCUUUCUUUCUUUCUUUCUUUCUUUCUCUUCCUUUUUUUGGUUUUUCAAGACAGGGUUUCUCUGUAUAGCCCUGGCUGUCCUGGAACUCACUCUGUAGACCAGGCUGGCCUUGAACUCAGAAAUCUGCCUGCUCUGCCUCCUGAGUGCUGGGAUUAAAGGCGUGCGCCACCAUGGCCGGCUAAUCUUUGAGUUCUAACCCCACGAGAGACCCAGUCUCACAGGGCCAGGCGUAAGUAACUGAGGAACAACAUGUGAGCUUGCCCUCUGGCAUCCACAUGCACCUGUGCAUGUGCACCUGUACACAUAGGAGCACACACUUCUACACAUACAUACACAUGUAUAUACGUGAAGAUAGGUAACGGGAAGACAUUCUCCUAGGCUGAACUGCCUCAAACUGGUAAGAUAGCUUAAAGGGAUUGAUAAAAUAACUGUCUAUUUAAUUUUUAAAAAGUCCUUAAACUUUAAGCGUUGGAGAUGAUGAGUCCUUAAAACACUGAAUUAUUCUCAGAUACAAUCUUUUAAAAACACUCAUUAUAAGUAGAAAUUUCCCAUAUGCUCAGAAUUAAGUGAUCGGAGCAGGAAGUGAACGUACCCUGGGAGAGCGCCAUCUUAGAUGACCAUUCUAGUGGCUACUGUGUUUCCGAACCACCUUACUGUAUUUGAAUAUGUUGAUAUUCAGCAGAAUUUCACAGGACUGGAAUCUGCGAUUGCUUAGCUGAAUGCUUGUCUGAGCCAGGGUCUGAGGCUGAAGCCCAGUCAGUCAGCUUGUAGCUUGUGAUUGUUUUCGGAUUAUGGUCCUUAUUUCUUUGUCAUUUGUCAUCAGGAACGGGUUUUUGCCACAAGAGGUCGUCCAUAUUCCUUUUCUGUUGUCUUCUUCCCCCGGCAAUAGUGGCUCACCCUUUAACUCCGACCUGGUGGGGAAAGUUCUCUCCUUUAGUGACUCCUGUGAUGAUAGUGGGCCUAGCUAGAUGACCCAGGCUCAUCUCAGGCAGGCCUAGCUAGAUGACCCAGGCUCAUCCUGGAACUCAGAAAUCCGCCUGCCUCUGCCUCCCAAGUGCUGGGAUUAAAGUCAUGGGCCACCACGCCCGGCUGGGAAUGAUCAUUCUUGAAGGAAACUUGUACCCAUUACAGGAAAUUCAUGCAGCUCUCAGUAACUUACACACAGUUGUCCACUUAAGUCUCUAGUUUUAUAAUUCAUAACUAUUCAAGUUUUGUAUGUAGGGUUGUGUAUGUCUUAUACAAGACAUCAGAGAGACGGACAGAGACAGAGAAUUUAUUUAUAUUUAUAUGCCAUUUUUAUAAGAUAUAUAAAGUAUUUCAUAUUGAGAUGUGUUGGCCAUGUUUAAAGUUUAAAUUCUGUCUGUGUCACACAUCCAUUUUGUGUUUGACUAUAAAAGUGGAUUUUUUUUUCCCUAUGUGACAGUCUCUUUAACUGUCCGGAGCUGGAAGUCAUCAGGGUACUCAAGUGCCAGUCUAGGAAGGGGGAGGCCAGUCCCCACCCAGAGCUUCUAGGAAAGGAAGGUCCUUUCAUCUGCGAUCUCUUCUGGUUGUCUUUGUUAUGGAUGCUUCCCAUAUGUUGCCUUCUGUCCCACGUGUUGUUCUUUUUUCUGCAAAAUCGACUUUAGUGUUGUUGACAGCAGGGCCAGCAGAGGGCGCCCGAGAGCCAAGACUAUUUGCUUAAGAUAACUUUGGUCAUAUACUUGGUUGACUGCAAACUGUACCAAGUUAGAGAUCAGAUAUAGUGUGCUCACCCACGUCUUUACCCUGCUGAUGACAGGCUCCAACGUGUCACUGUGCUCCUGGUUUAGCAAUUGUAGGAUGGCCAUUUGUAGAUGUGUAGAUUUCAUUUAUAAUAAUUCUUCAUAGGAAAAAAGAGAUAUAAGUUAAAUAAAGCCGGAAGGGAUAUUUUUGCGAGGGGAGUCACAGGAGAAGGAAAAAUUUGACAAAAAAAUUUUGAGUGUUUAAUCGUGUGCAAAUAUUCAUAGAUAGCCGUGUGCAUUAGGGACUAUGCCAGGUUCUGGGACUACAGUAGAGUCAAAGACUUGCUUACUGCUCUCGAGGAGUUUGAAGGCUAGGUGAAUAAAAUUAAAUCACUGGUUGGAAUGGAAAAUGGAAAACAGCUUGGCAAUUUUUC